GAAUGAUGGUGACCCAAACCCUCACCAGAGUAGCAAUUGGAGGGCAAGUCUGGUGCCAGCAGCCGCGGUAAUUCCAGCUCCAAUAGCGUAUAUUAAACUUGUUGCAGUUAAAAAGCUCGUAGUUGUAUUUUUGCGUUAGCGGUUUGACCAUUUGGUUGGUUAUUUCGUUUUCGCUUUUGGGAAUUUCCCUUUUUACUUUGAGAAAAUUAGAGUGUUUCAAGCAGACUUUUGUCUUGAAUACUUCAGCAUGGAAUAAUAGAGUAGGACUUUGGUUCUAUUUUGUUGGUUAUUGAACCUUAGUAAUGGUUAAUAGGAACGGUUGGGGGCAUUCGUAUUUAACUGUCAGAGGUGAAAUUCUUAGAUUUGUUAAAGACGAACUACUGCGAAAGCAUUUGCCAAGGACGUUUCCAUUAAUCAAGAACGAAAGUUAGGGGAUCGAAGACGAUCAGAUACCGUCGUAGUCCU
This 465-nucleotide ribosomal RNA is filed under the name Babesia canis. RNAcentral describes it as "SSU rRNA". It matches the Rfam family "Eukaryotic small subunit ribosomal RNA", at positions 512 to 1027 of the family's 1831-position model. The record is from RNAcentral. Lineage: Eukaryota; Apicomplexa; Aconoidasida; Piroplasmida; Babesiidae.